This 1484-nucleotide ribosomal RNA is filed under the name metagenome. RNAcentral describes it as "bacterial SSU rRNA". It matches the Rfam family "Bacterial small subunit ribosomal RNA". The record is from RNAcentral.
AGAGUUUGAUCCUGGCUCAGGAUGAACGCUAGCGGCAGGCUUAACACAUGCAAGUCGAGGGGUAACAUAGGAAUGCUUGCAUUUUUGAUGACGACCGGCGCACGGGUGCGUAACGCGUAUAGAACCUACCUUGUAGUAAGGGAUAGCCCAGAGAAAUUUGGAUUAAUAUCUUAUGGUAUGAUAAGAUGGCAUCAUUUAAUCAUUAAAGAUUUAUCGCUACAAGAUGGCUAUGCGUUCUAUUAGCUAGUUGGUAUGGUAACGGCAUACCAAGGCUACGAUAGAUAGGGGUCCUGAGAGGGAGAUCCCCCACACUGGUACUGAGACACGGACCAGACUCCUACGGGAGGCAGCAGUGAGGAAUAUUGGACAAUGGAGGCAACUCUGAUCCAGCCAUGCCGCGUGUAGGAAGACUGCCCUAUGGGUUGUAAACUACUUUUAUAGAGGAAGAAACCGCCUGACGUGUCAGGCUCUGACGGUACUCUACGAAUAAGGAUCGGCUAACUCCGUGCCAGCAGCCGCGGUAAUACGGAGGAUCCGAGCGUUAUCCGGAGUCAUUGGGUUUAAAGGGUCCGUAGGCGGGCUUGUAAGUCAGUGGUGAAAGUUUUCGGCUCAACCGGAAAAUUGCCAUUGAUACUGCAGGUCUUGAAUCAUUAUGAAGUGGUUAGAAUAAGUAGUGUAGCGGUGAAAUGCAUAGAUAUUACUUAGAAUACCGAUUGCGAAGGCAGAUCACUAAUAAUGUAUUGACGCUAAGGGACGAAAGCGUGGGUAGCGAACAGGAUUAGAUACCCUGGUAGUCCACGCCGUAAACGAUGGUUACUAGCUGUUCGGAUUUCGGUCUGAGUGGCUAAGCGAAAGUGAUAAGUAACCCACCUGGGGAGUACGUUCGCAAGAAUGAAACUCAAAGGAAUUGACGGGGGCCCGCACAAGCGGUGGAGCAUGUGGUUUAAUUCGAUGAUACGCGAGGAACCUUACCAGGGCUUAAAUGUGGUAUGACAGGUUUAGAGAUAGACUUUUCUUCGGACAUAUUACAAGGUGCUGCAUGGUUGUCGUCAGCUCGUGCCGUGAGGUGUCAGGUUAAGUCCUAUAACGAGCGCAACCCCUGUUGUUAGUUGCCAGCGAGUAAUGUCGGGAACUCUAGCAAGACUGCCAGUGCAAACCGCGAGGAAGGUGGGGAUGACGUCAAAUCAUCACGGCCCUUACGUCCUGGGCCACACACGUGCUACAAUGGUAGGUACAGAGAGCAGCCACUACGCGAGUAGGAGCGAAUCUAUAAAACCUAUCACAGUUCGGAUCGGAGUCUGCAACUCGACUCCGUGAAGCUGGAAUCGCUAGUAAUCGGAUAUCAGCCAUGAUCCGGUGAAUACGUUCCCGGGCCUUGUACACACCGCCCGUCAAGCCAUGGAAGCUGGGGGUACCUGAAGUCCGUCACCGCAAGGAGCGGCCUAGGGUAAAACUGGUAACUGGGGCUAAGUCGGAACAAGGUA